Molecule: transfer RNA, 66 nt
Filed under: Cherax glaber
Lineage: Eukaryota; Metazoa; Arthropoda; Malacostraca; Decapoda; Parastacidae
Description: tRNA-Ser
Source: RNAcentral
AGAGAUCCAUGCCAGGGAAAAAGCUUCUAACUUCAUUCCUUAGCGGUUGAAUUCCGUUAACUUCUC